UGUGCAUCGGUGGGGUCCCUUGGCCUGGCUUGUGCCCUCUCACAAUCUGGAACCCCUUAGGGGAUGUUAGAGAGCCAGUUUUUGGCCCAAUCCCGCAGGCCAGGCCAAGGGACCCCACUGGUGCACA
RNAcentral lists this microRNA precursor (127 nucleotides) under Myotis lucifugus (little brown bat). RNAcentral's name for it is "mir-9193 microRNA precursor family". It matches the Rfam family "mir-9193 microRNA precursor family". Lineage: Eukaryota; Metazoa; Chordata; Mammalia; Chiroptera; Vespertilionidae. The record is from Rfam by way of RNAcentral.